Molecule: long non-coding RNA, 958 nt
Filed under: Musa acuminata (dwarf banana)
Lineage: Eukaryota; Viridiplantae; Streptophyta; Magnoliopsida; Zingiberales; Musaceae
Description: long non-coding RNA (MACU_LNC008173)
Source: RNAcentral
UAAGACUUUAGGGUCUUACCAUUUGGUAUCAGAGCCUACGAUAAGACUUUAGGAUCUUAUCAUUUGGGGUGAGAGCCUACGAUCCUUAGCGUUCUCGCUGCAACGAAGCUAUACAAAAAAAAAAAGGAAAGAAAAAAAGAAAGAAAGAAAGAAAGAGAGAAGAAGCAGCAACCGCAGCCACGCACCCCUGCUUCUGGCCAGCCCACCCGCUGCCCGUCGCUGCUCUCCGGCCAGCAACCGACUCUGCCCCACUUCCAGCCAGAGUCCACCGCCGCCUCCCACCCGAGCCACUACCGCUGCCAGGAGACGAUGCUGCCAACGUCCCACUCCGCCGCAGCCCUGCUCCUCUUCUCUACCGCCGUUGUAGGGCAACUCCUUCUCCACCUCCGCCACUACUUCCCGACCGAUCGAUCACCGCCGCCCGCCUCCCAACCGCAACCCUAGCCGUGCCCCCCCUUGGGUCGCAGCCCCUCGAAAUGAUCAAGGAGGGCAGAGACCCUCGAAGCGAUCAAGGAGGGUCGAUCCCCUCGAAGCGAUCAAGGAGGCCGAUCCCCUCGAAGUGAUCAUCCCAUUUCUCUUCUUCUUUUUUACGAUAAGACUUUAGGGUCUUAUCAUUUGGUAUCCUACGAAAAGACUUUAGGGUCUUAUCAUUUGGUAUCAGAGCCUACGAUAAGACUUUAGGGUCGAUUUUAGGGUCUUAUCAUUUAGUAUCAGAGCGACGAUAAAACCUUUAGGGUCUUAUCAUUUGGUAUCAGAGCAACUAUCCUUGGCGCAGCCUGCCGCAGCCUUGCUUCCCUUCUUCCCCACCACCACUACAAGGCAACUCUUUCUUCACUGUUGUCGUUGUUUCCCCGGCUAGCGACCUUCGACCACCGCUCGACCUCCUCGCUGCCCCAUCUCGUUCAAAAAAAAAAAAAAAAAAAAAAAAAAAAAAAAAAAAAAAAAAAAAAAAAAAGGG